CAGCCGCCGCGGGAAAACGAAGGGGGCUAGCGUUGCUCGGAAUGACUGGGCGUAAAGGGCGCGUAGGCGGCUUGUACAGUCAGAUGUGAAAUUCCUGGGCUCAACCUGGGGACUGCAUUUGAUACUGUUUGGCUUGAGUUCGGGAGAGGUGAGUGGAAUUCCCAGUGUAGAGGUGAAAUUCGUAGAUAUUGGGAAGAACACCGGUGGCGAAGGCGGCAACCUGGUCCUUGACUGACGCUGAGGCGCGAAAGCGUGGGGAGCAAACAGGAUUAGAUACCCCUGUAGUCCCUGUCUCUUAUAC
RNAcentral lists this ribosomal RNA (301 nucleotides) under uncultured bacterium. RNAcentral describes it as "partial 16S ribosomal RNA". It matches the Rfam family "Bacterial small subunit ribosomal RNA", at positions 509 to 807 of the family's 1533-position model. The record is from RNAcentral.